RNAcentral lists this ribosomal RNA (461 nucleotides) under uncultured bacterium. RNAcentral describes it as "bacterial SSU rRNA". It matches the Rfam family "Bacterial small subunit ribosomal RNA", at positions 340 to 789 of the family's 1533-position model. The record is from RNAcentral.
UACGGAAGGCAGCAGGGGGAAUAUUGCACAAUGGGCGAAAGCCUGAUGCAGCUAUGCCGCGUGUAUGAAGAAGGCCUUAGGGUUGUAAAGUACUUUCAUCGGGGAGGAAAAAACAAAACUAAUAAUUUUAUUUCUUGACGUUACCCGAAAAAGAAGCACCGGCUAACUCCGUGCCAGCAGCCGCGGUAAUACGGAGGGUGCUAGCGUUAAUCAGAAUUACUGGGCGUAAAGAGCACGUAGGUGGUUUUUUUAAAGUCAGAUGUGAAAUCCCUGGGCUUUAACCUAGGAACUGCAUUUUGAAACUGAAAUACUAGAGUAUCGUAGAGGGAGGUAGAAUUCUAGGUGUAGCGGUGAAAUGCGUAGAUAUCUGGAGGAAUACCUGUGGCGAAAGCGGCCUCCUAAACGAAUACUGACACUGAGGGUGCGAAAGCGUGGGGAGCAAACAGGGAUUAGAUACCCGU